This 28-nucleotide non-coding RNA is filed under the name Mus musculus (house mouse). Lineage: Eukaryota; Metazoa; Chordata; Mammalia; Rodentia; Muridae. The record is from RNAcentral.
UAGCACACAUGAAUUCCUGGACUCACUC